Toxorhynchites rutilus septentrionalis is the source of this 143-nucleotide small nuclear RNA. RefSeq annotates it as U4 spliceosomal RNA. The record is from RefSeq and is a predicted model, not a curated record. The transcript has a single exon. Lineage: Eukaryota; Metazoa; Arthropoda; Insecta; Diptera; Culicidae.
UUUUCGGCACUGGUGGCGAUACCGUAACCAAUGAGGUUCUACCGAGGUGCGAUUAUUGUCAGUUGAAAAACAUCCUUUUUAAUGGUGUAUCAUGUUUUCGACAAGGAAUUUGGAAAAAAAAUUUCUGAUAAUAGGUCAUAUUA